UCAAAAACAGCUAAAAGCCAUAAAACCAUCAUUGAGCUGUAUAAAUCUUAGAAGACUUUACAAAGCCAAACAAGAAUCAAUAGGAAAUGGUCAUAAAAUCUGCUCAGACAAGAUAAUUUUUCCUAGAUACCGCAAGGUCAGCAACAUCCUGGCAUUCAAUAUCUGAAAUAUCCUGAAUGAAUAUAGAGUCAGAUAGGAAUUAAGGCCAUGAUAGCAUAAGGUAGAGAAGGAAAAUGUCAUUCGGAUAUAAAAAUGUAAAACCAAAUUGAUAUCAACAAAUCAGAACCUUGACAAAGGCAUAACUUCCAGAGAUCAUACUGGAACAAGCAGAUAAUGUUGGAUGAGAACGGACACACCAUGCUAUUAAACACGGG
This is a non-coding RNA of Pelobates cultripes (western spadefoot toad), 374 nucleotides long. Lineage: Eukaryota; Metazoa; Chordata; Amphibia; Anura; Pelobatidae. The record is from the annotation of a GenBank genome assembly.